GGAUUAUCAUUCGUCCUGACAAUGGUGGGAUUUGAUCAGGAGCACUAACAACACAUUACUGGCUCACCUGAAGCGUGAACGGCCGUGUCAGCGCACUGGGGAUCAUCAAGACUCCUCCGCAGAACCUAUGCUCCCCAGGUAUGGGCCGACCCUGAUGACCUCGACUCAACAUGUAGUGCGCCAUGUUCACCACAAGAUGGCGAUUAACAACCACCGUUUGACACCAGAGCUGAAGCACAAAGGAGUUUAAGACCUGUUAACAUUGCAGUAACAGACUUUUGUUCUGCUGUGACACUGCAUCACUUCCUCUGUGGGCAUACAGCGAUGCGAGGAUGCAAGCACAGAGGAAAAGUGGUUUGAGUGACUCAUUCCAGUGUCUGGAGGGACAAGUUGGCAGGCCUGAGAACAAGAAGCAGAGCUAACACAGGAAGUGACACAUCCAGCAGUACCAAGAGCUCGCCAUGCUAUGGGUCGGUUUUCUAAAGUUUGUGUCAGUGGAUUCAGGGCGGAAGAAGAGUGUCAGAAGUACAGCAGAGUGAAAUGAGCAAUCUGAAAUGAUUUCCUGGUUGGGAGGAACUAAUGAAUAGGGCCGAGGACAGGGUUGAAGGAGUGAUGAGCGUGGGAGCUCCCCGUGGUAUUCCCCGCCUGCUUGUUCUCAGCUGUCCUCCUGGAAACCUCGGUCCAGCUGCUGCCCAUUACACCAGGAAUCUUUGCAGUGGCCUGGAGACCUGCAGACCUGUUCACUGAGCAACCUCUUGACCUCUUGGUCGCAUGCGUGCCUGCACGCAGCCCGAGACCCUCGAGUGCAGGAUUUUUAUCGGUUCACGGAGCAAGGCUUUAAAACUAGAGGUGACAAAGCAUUCGCAGCAGAGCCCUGAGGUGAUGCAAGAAGCUGCUGCUUUGCUGUUUUUAGUUGCUUCUUGUCCUGUGCAGUCAUUUUCAACUUAAUUAUUAAAGUUACUUGCUUUGUUACUCGUGUAAAUGAGGAUAGCUGCAUACAUACAAACACUAGCUGAAGAAAUUCACCAAGAUUCUGCAGCCUGUAUCACGGUCUACACUCAUAUAGGUGAAUGUGGAAAAAUAGGUGACUAAAAUGGCAAAACCUAAGUCUCAAGUAAACAUCCCAAGUAAAGAAGAAGGCAGGGAGGCAUGAAAGGAGGGGGAGAUGCAUGGCCAGACAUUCACGGAGGGAGGGACUCCUUCAUGAAUGGCUAUGACUAAGAAUAACAUGCUAAACAGUGCCUCGUGUGUGUGUGCGUGUGCUUGCCCUGUGGUAAUCUUAUCACGGGUGUAGUCAUCAUGAGGCGCGGUCUCUUCAGCUCUGGAGAGGAGUGGUCAGGCUGGACGGGUGAUCCAUCUAAGAGCAAUCACCAUCAGCAGACAGAAAGACACAAGACGGCUGCAAAGGCACUGUUUACCUUCUGUCAGUCCGUUGUUAAGUACCACUAAAAAGCUGUUUGCUAUAUCAGCAGAGAUAAGAGCAUGACAGUGGGGUAACUGAUGUCUGCAGGGGAGUUUCAAAGUGAUGAAAGAUUAGGUGGUUUAAAAUGUCCAUUUAUAUCAGUCACUUUUUUUCCCUUUAACCUGAUUUCAAACUCUCCGUGUGCCCUGCUGUUGUGUUAUAUUAGGUUGGCGUAAUUCUGUAUUCUGUGUCCACUUUUUACUUUUAAAGUGUGUUUAUAUGGACAUGCAUACUUUGUACAGCGCUUUGUUCAAUGAAAACUGUGUUUAAACAUGCUUCACAAAUACAUUUUACUUAUUUUUAUACUUACUGUGUUAAAAUAGUCAACAGACAUGAUUUUACUGCUCUCCUAACAUGAAUACUUUGUCCACUGUUUAUAUUAAAAAAAACUGAUAUAUACUUUUAAAAAAACAAAAACUACUCAAAAUUGGUGAGCUGUAAGUUUGCUUAUGUACCCAGAGCCAGAACGCUCAGAACGAUUUACUCCCUUAAAUGAUUAAAAAGGAACCUGAGAGGUUGCAGAACACCUUGAAGUCUUAAGCUGGUUUUAUUUCAAACAAAUCCAGCCAAAUAUAACCUGUGUACAAAUGGUAAUUAA
Molecule: long non-coding RNA, 2060 nt
Organism: Oreochromis niloticus (Nile tilapia)
Lineage: Eukaryota; Metazoa; Chordata; Actinopteri; Cichliformes; Cichlidae
Exons: 7
Source: RefSeq, a predicted model, not a curated record